RNAcentral lists this ribosomal RNA (548 nucleotides) under uncultured bacterium. RNAcentral describes it as "partial 16S ribosomal RNA". It matches the Rfam family "Bacterial small subunit ribosomal RNA", at positions 355 to 895 of the family's 1533-position model. The record is from RNAcentral.
UGGGGAAUUUUGGACAAUGGGCGAAAGCCUGAUCCAGCAAUGCCGCGUGUGUGAAGAAGGCCUUCGGGUUGUAAAGCACUUUUGUCCGGAAAGAAAUGGCUCUGGUUAAUACCUGGGGUCGAUGACGGUACCGGAAGAAUAAGGACCGGCUAACUACGUGCCAGCAGCCGCGGUAACACGUGAGGGUCCAAGCGUUAAUCGGAAUUACUGGGCGUAAAGCGUGCGCAGGCGGUUGUGCAAGACCGAUGUGAAAUCCCCGAGCUUAACUUGGGAAUUGCAUUGGUGACUGCACGGCUAGAGUGUGUCAGAGGGGGGUAGAAUUCCACGUGUAGCAGUGAAAUGCGUAGAGAUGUGGAGGAAUACCGAUGGCGAAGGCAGCCCCCUGGGAUAACACUGACGCUCAUGCACGAAAGCGUGGGGAGCAAACAGGAUUAGAUACCCUGGUAGUCCACGCCCUAAACGAUGUCAACUAGUUGUUGGGGAUUCAUUUCCUUAGUAACGUAGCUAACGCGUGAAGUUGACCGCCUGGGGAGUACGGUCGCAAGAUU